UAGCGGCGGACGGGUGAGUAACACGUGGGUAACCUACCUAUAAGACUGGAAUAACUCCGGGAAACCGGGGCUAAUGCCGGAUAACAUGUUGGACCGCAUGGUCCUACAGUGAAAGACGGUCUUGCUGUCACUUAUAGAUGGACCCGCGCCGUAUUAGCUAGUUGGUAAGGUAACGGCUUACCAAGGCAACGAUACGUAGCCGACCUGAGAGGGUGAUCGGCCACACUGGAACUGAGACACGGUCCAG
This 247-nucleotide ribosomal RNA is filed under the name uncultured bacterium. RNAcentral describes it as "partial 16S ribosomal RNA". It matches the Rfam family "Bacterial small subunit ribosomal RNA", at positions 93 to 334 of the family's 1533-position model. The record is from RNAcentral.